RNAcentral lists this ribosomal RNA (583 nucleotides) under uncultured bacterium. RNAcentral's name for it is "bacterial SSU rRNA". It matches the Rfam family "Bacterial small subunit ribosomal RNA", at positions 102 to 694 of the family's 1533-position model. The record is from RNAcentral.
AAGGGACAGGAACACGUAGACUACCUGCCCUCGGGUCUGGCAUAGCCACGGGAAACUGUGGGUAAUUCCAGAUAAUAUCUCCGGAUCAAAGGUGUGAUUCCGCCCGAGGAUGGGUCUGCGUCCUAUUAGCUAGUUGGUGAGGUAACGGCUCACCAAGGCGAUGAUGGGUAGCAGGUGUGAGAGCACGACCUGCGUCAUUGGGACUGAGACACUGCCCAGACACCUACGGGUGGCUGCAGUCGAGAAUUUUUGGCAAUGGGGGAAACCCUGACCAAGCGAUGCCGCGUGCGGGAUGAAGGUCUUCGGAUUGUAAACCGCUGUCAGUGGGGAGAAAAGGAUAGUGAGUUAUCUCAUUAUUUUGAUCUAUCCGCAGAGGAAGUGUGGGCUAAGCUCGUGCCAGCAGCCGCGGUAAGACGAGCCACACAAACGUUAUUCGGAAUUACUGGGCUUAAAGGGUGCGUAGGCUGCGCGGAAAGUUGGGUGUGAAAUACCUCGGCUCAACCGAGGAACUGCGCCCAAAACUACCGUGCUCGAGGAAGAUAGAGGUGAGCGGAACUUACGGUGGAGCGGUGAAAUGCGUUGA